Molecule: ribosomal RNA, 591 nt
Filed under: Paenibacillus sp.
Lineage: Bacteria; Bacillati; Bacillota; Bacilli; Caryophanales; Paenibacillaceae
Description: partial 16S ribosomal RNA
Rfam family: Bacterial small subunit ribosomal RNA
Source: RNAcentral
GAGUACGGUCGCAAGACUGAAACUCAAAGGAAUUGACGGGGACCCGCACAAGCGGUGGAGUAUGUGGUUUAAUUCGAAGCAACGCGAAGAACCUUACCAGGUCUUGACGUCCCUUUAACCCCUCAAAAAAGGGAGGUUCCCUUCGGGACACAGGACACAGGUGCUGCAUGGGUGUCGUCAGCUCGUGUCGUGAGAUGUUGGGUUAAGUCCCGCAACGAGCGCAACCCUUGUUAUUAUUUGCCACCAUUUAGUUGGGCACUCUAAGAUGAGUGCGGGUGACACACCAGAGGAGGGGGGGGAUGACGUCAAAUCAUCCCGCCCCUUUUGAGCUGGGCUACACACGUGCUACAAUGGGCGGUACACCGGGGGGCGAAAGAGCGAAGUGGAGAGCAUAUCAAAAAACCCCUCUCAGAUCGGAGAGUGGGGUGUGACUCUCCUGUGUGAGAAUCGAGAUUCUCUUAUUAUCGGAUAUCCACGUUGCGGUGAAUACAUUUUCCGGGGUUGUAGACACCGCCCCCCACACCACGAGAGUUUUUCACACCCCCAGACGCUGGGGGAACAGCCUUGGGGAACACCCGCGCCAUGGGGUGA